RNAcentral lists this long non-coding RNA (232 nucleotides) under Gossypium barbadense (sea-island cotton). Its description in RNAcentral is "long non-coding RNA (GBAR_LNC019087)". The record is from RNAcentral. Lineage: Eukaryota; Viridiplantae; Streptophyta; Magnoliopsida; Malvales; Malvaceae.
GAUGAUGGAAGGUCAAGAAGAGGUCAGCAAGAACCUCUAGUAACUCUCCAAAUCAGAUUUCACAUUCUAAAAGUCAAUAACUACAAAGCCACCUCUAUGGGUUUUGUGAAGGAGAAGUAACGGUAACGGGAAAUACAAUGCAUAAAAAAAGUUAAUGCGAGUCUCAACCCACAAUUUACUAAUCCACGUGGUGAUAAAUUGUUGGAGGGGCACAGAAGAAUUUUGUUCCCUC